GUCCCCUUCGUCUAGUGGUUUAGGACACCGCCCUUUCACGGCGGCAACACGGGUUCGAAUCCCGUAGGGGACGCCA
RNAcentral lists this transfer RNA (76 nucleotides) under Paracoccaceae bacterium. RNAcentral describes it as "Rhodobacteraceae bacterium tRNA-Glu". It matches the Rfam family "tRNA". From Rfam's summary of the family: Transfer RNA (tRNA) molecules are approximately 80 nucleotides in length. RNAcentral also lists the same sequence under 4 other names. Lineage: Bacteria; Pseudomonadati; Pseudomonadota; Alphaproteobacteria; Rhodobacterales; Paracoccaceae. The record is from RNAcentral.